ACUGAUGUAUUCAACGAGUCUAUAGCCUUGGCCGACAUGCCCGGGUAAUCUUUGAAAUUUCAUCGUGAUGGGGAUAGAUCAUUGCAAUUAUUGGUCUUCAAC
RNAcentral lists this non-coding RNA (102 nucleotides) under Ricinus communis (castor bean). RNAcentral's name for it is "Eukaryotic small subunit ribosomal RNA". It matches the Rfam family "Eukaryotic small subunit ribosomal RNA", at positions 1502 to 1604 of the family's 1831-position model. Lineage: Eukaryota; Viridiplantae; Streptophyta; Magnoliopsida; Malpighiales; Euphorbiaceae. The record is from Rfam by way of RNAcentral.